Long non-coding RNA from Egretta garzetta (little egret), 345 nucleotides. RefSeq lists it as uncharacterized. Lineage: Eukaryota; Metazoa; Chordata; Aves; Pelecaniformes; Ardeidae. The transcript is spliced from 4 exons. The record is from RefSeq and is a predicted model, not a curated record.
CUACUGACCCUUUUCCUCUCCGAUUUCUGGUUGCAGCUUGCCUUAGCCAGAUCCAGCUCCUUGGGCGACUCCUCCAGGCCACAAAGGCACCUCGUUGCUAUAUUAAAAGAAGAUAAAGAGACGUUCGGGUUUGAAAUCCAGACUAUUAGGUUUCCGAACCCGAACGAUUGCUCCCUGGAGGUAUGCACGUGCGUCUGCAAAAUUCAAGACGAAAGUCCUGCUCAUCUUUCUGGCCUUCAGACUGGCGACAUCCUCGCCAGCAUCAACGGCGUGAACACUGAUGGCUUUAGUCACAAGCAAAUAGUAGACUUGAUAAAGUCUUCAGGGAACUAUUUAAGGUAGGGG